CACGGACCCGUACCCUGAUGACCGGGAGAAGUUGAGUGUCAGCUGGUUCUCCGGGUUUGUGUCGAUGUGAAGUUUGGACAGCCAACCCAGAACUUUAUCAUAGUCACUGACUGAGGAGUGGCUCCCCCCUGAGACUAAAUAAAAGAGAGCCGAGACAAAACCAACCCAUUUUUAGACUGACUCUGAAGAGAUAAUUCUGAGGCAAAGGUUGAACUCAGGCAAUAAUCUUCACCAUGAGAGACAUAGAAACUAUGACAAAGUGCUGUUGACUCGCUGACAUACAGGAAGCACAGGAACCGGUCCAACUGGCUUCUGUCACCGUGUCAGAAUACAUGCAGGACAUUCUGGGACAUGCAGGACAUGUUUUCAAAAUAUUUCUGUGAUCCAGUCACACCCUGCUCACCUGUACUGGAUAUCUACGUGGCCUGUCCAUUCUUUAUAAGCCCUGUCUGCUAGGGAGCCACUGUGUUAAGAGCUGUUUACACUCCAGUCUGGCUCGCCGGCGCCUCUAUAACCUCGGUGCUUGUUUUUUAAACUAUAAACUGUGUUCACUGAGCGGCCUCUCCACCAGGCUGUUGGCGGUCGUGGACCAGUCUACAGCAGGUUUAGGACUGGUCUGCUCAGCCUCUAUCCUUUUCAAAUGUGCUCAAAAUAAAUCGACUUGACUGGAGUGCAGGACAGGAGCUGAGGGAGGAGGCGAUGCAGGAGGAGUGAUGGGAAGAAAAAGUGCCCGAGGAGUCGCUGACGACCGGCGGCAGGUGACAGAUGGUGGAGGUGAAGCGGGAGCAGUGAAUGACGGCUUGAUGACAAGUCGGGAUUUAAAUGCCUGAUUUUCAGACAGGUGCUGAAUGUCACAUGUUUAAACGGCAGGUAAAAAUAAACAGGGGUUGGCAGGGGGGGAGUCAAAGAGCGACGCAGUGAGGCAGGGGAGCAUGAGAGGCAAUCUGGCAGAGAAUGAGCAGAAGGGAUACGAUUUAAAGUAUGUGGCAGAGGUAAUAAUACGCGAAUGGAGGAGGCAGGUGAUGUGGAUGAUGACAGGAAGCAGAGCUAGUGUCAAGAAAAGGAACAGUCUGGACUCAGACUUUUACAAUAAGGAGUUGCUAUUUGACCAAAUAUCAAAAUGUCAUAACUUCCUGAUGUUGUUCAAUAAAUUCUUUACCAUUAGCGGUAAAUAUUUGAGGACUUUGUGUGUGUUGUCUAUACAGCACUACUGUAACAGUAGCUGUCAUAACAAUGCGACUCCUCUGAGUCCUCAUAGAGAAACCUGCUCACUGACGCAACCAAUAUUUUGAAGAUAAUCACAAAUGGCUUCAUUUGGCUUCUUAUUUCAGGGCUGUUGCUCAUUAAUCGAAGUGACUGUGAAUGUGCAGGAACCGGCUGUUUUCUCUUGCAGUCAAUUAGUUUUUAUCUUAAUUUGGCUUCCUAUUAUAAUGAAAGAACACAAAGAAAUCAAUUGUAAUCAGGUUCCACUU
Molecule: long non-coding RNA, 1472 nt
Organism: Betta splendens (Siamese fighting fish)
Lineage: Eukaryota; Metazoa; Chordata; Actinopteri; Anabantiformes; Osphronemidae
Exons: 4
Source: RefSeq, a predicted model, not a curated record